Molecule: long non-coding RNA, 2191 nt
Filed under: Apis dorsata (giant honeybee)
Lineage: Eukaryota; Metazoa; Arthropoda; Insecta; Hymenoptera; Apidae
Description: uncharacterized LOC102678819
Source: RNAcentral
GUCCUUGCCCGAGGCUAUUAGAGUAUUUAUAGACGAUGAUACCCUAGACUGUUUCCAUCUCGGUCGUCGUGCUGAUCGGCAUCGUCAUCGACGCCGCGUACGAGCCUCGCCGCUUCUCUCGAGAGGACGUGCGCGCUCGUACGUUCCACCUGCGUCGUCCUAGCAAGCGUGAAUCAUCGCGAGGCACGUCGUUCUUUGCGAGAUACGUGCGUCGUGGACGCGUCACGCGACACCUUCUUUUUCUCUUCGAUCUUCCUCGUCCUAAGAUAUUCGUCGUUUCAUUCACACGUUGGUGUAGAUCGUGAGAGAGGUGUGGUAUACAGUUGGAAAAUUUGUGCAUUCUUUGUUGAUUUUAGGUUAGUUGAAAGAUGAGUUCAUUCGUUUAUGGAUUCUGAUUUUGAAACGAGUCGAAAUCGUUGACAGAUUGGAUAAAAUUAGAUUAAUAACAAUAAAAUAGAUGAAGAUGAAGUAUAUGAUACAAAGGCUUGGUCGUGUUCCAAACUUAAACGCGUCUCAUCAUCCGAAGGCGCAGGGACGAUGCUGAAACCUGAUCGGCGAGUCGAAAGAUGCGCGUCACAGGACCAAUUACGUCACCCCGUACAGGUACAGCAUUUUAAUAAACGCCUGGAAUUACCAAGAUCAAGCCUCCCCAUAAAUUUCCUCGAAACUCCAAUCCCUUAUCCUCCGCGAUCCCCUGCUAAUUGCAGUGAACCGCUCGGGCUACCUGUCCCUAUCCCCCGAGAAACGCGGAGAGAAGGAGAGCGCGACAGGUACGACGUUUCGUGCAACAACAAGCGGCGAGGAGGAGGGUGCGUUGACGUCAUUUGCGGCAAUUCGUGUUCUUCGAAAACGGAAAUAUUGAGUGACAUCACCAACCGGUCGAGCCAACUUGAACUCGAGAUUCGUCGACGAUGUCGUGGCCUGUCGGCUCUCUCGAUUGCGAUCUCACCUCCGUUCCUUUUCUUCUCGUCCUCUUCUCGCUCCCUUCUCGGUUGCAUCUGCCUCGCGUUCUUCCUCUUUCUUCGAGGAUACGUAGAGCAUCGUAGCCGCGGGCUGGAUGACUAAACAACGAGAAGGAUCCUCUUCUCGGGCGCGACGGUCCAGGGUCGAUGAAGAAUAUAUAUAUCUCGAUCCAAGUUUCGUUAAUCGAAUGGGGAAUAUACUGUCGUGGGUCUGGAACAAAAUCGACAGAACUUGGACUUCUUUUUUUUUCCACGAUCGAAACUUCGAACUUUUCGAAGAGAUAAGAAAACAAAGGAUCUUUUUUUAACUUGGAACCCGAGAAAGGGAAUUAUCGAAAUUAUAGGAUUGGUUUGGCAAGAUGGCUGACACAUUCGCGCUAUCAGGGAAAUGAUCGUGAGACUUCACCCAUUACGCGCACAACACCGUGGAGCGCAACAAAGGCUACAAAGAUGCAUCUGCGAUUCCAGGAAUAAUGAAGGCUCUCCGCGAAUAAUUAAACAUCGCAUAAAGACCUAAAUACCAGGACGUAUUCAUCGAGCGUCCAAUAAAUCCUUGCUAAAAUAUCGACGACAAUUUCACACCUCACUCGGCUUCUAAUCAAUUCGAGAGAUUCCAACGCUUCGACAAACUUCUUCUUAACCGUGUGUAAACUGUUAGUAAUAGGUUGUCGCGCGUUUCUUUCACACCCUCGGGCUGUAAUUCCUCGGGCAACAUUCAUUCCACGAGGCGAACAACCACACGCGCGCAUCGCCUGUUGCGAAUCGAUUGAAAUUACACCCUUCAGCCGUUUCUUUUCGCGAUUUUCGCGCAACGCGAAUACCGAGGUAACCAGUAGUUUCAAUUAAUGGAGAGUUAAUGGAGAGUCGGUUCAAGGAAAAACGGUGUCGUUUUCUACGUUUUACCUUACACCUAUCUCGAGACUCAAUCGCGGAACGUCGUGAUUUAAUUUUAUCACGGUGUUUGUUGACGCGUUCCUGGAACGGUUGUAAAAAUUACUGAAUGGCGGCGUACGGUGAAUACUUAUAAUACCACGGUCGAAGGUUGUCGCUUGUACAGUCAGGCACGAAGUAUGGCUUAUCACACGAACAUUCUCUGUUAUGAAUAUCUACAAUUUGACGUUUAGUUGUGACGUUUAUGUUUGUGUACACGUUGAAAUUUAUAUUUAUACCCGCCUUCGCCUUCCGUUCCGCAAGGGAACGAGAAUUUUCAACAUUUCUUUCUCGUCAUU